RNAcentral lists this ribosomal RNA (371 nucleotides) under uncultured bacterium. Its description in RNAcentral is "bacterial SSU rRNA". It matches the Rfam family "Bacterial small subunit ribosomal RNA", at positions 527 to 896 of the family's 1533-position model. The record is from RNAcentral.
GAAGGUGGCGAGCGUUGUUCGGAUUCACUGGGCAUAAAGGGCGCGUAGGCGGCUCUGUAAGCGGCGUGUGAAAACCCACGGCUUAACCGUUGAAUUGCGCGCUGGACUGCAGAGCUAGAGGGCGGGAGGGGGGUGUGGAACUCUAGGUGGAGCGGUGGAAUGCGUAGAUACCUAGAGGAACACCGGUGGCGAAAGCGACACCCUGGCCCGCAUCUGACGCUGAGGCGCGAAAGCGUGGGUAGCAAACAGGAUUAGAUACCCUGGUAGUCCACGCCGUAAACGAUGAGCACUAGGUAGCCGUCGGAACCGACCGGGGGCUGCUGAAGGAAAUCCAUUAAGUGCUCCGCCUGGGGAGUAUGGUCGCAAGGCUG